Molecule: ribosomal RNA, 468 nt
Filed under: uncultured bacterium
Lineage: Bacteria
Description: partial 16S ribosomal RNA
Rfam family: Bacterial small subunit ribosomal RNA
Source: RNAcentral
GACGAACGCUGGCGGCGUGCUUAACACAUGCAAGUCGAACGGUAAGGCCCUGCUUUUGUUGGGUGCUCGAGUGGCGAACGGGUGUGUAUCACGCGAGUAACCCGUCCUUGACUUUGGGAUAACUUCAGGAAACUGGGGCUAAUACCCGAUAGGUGCUCCUGCCGCAUGGUGGGGGUUGGUAAGUUUCGGUGUUCUGGGAUGGACUCGCGGCUGAGCGGCUUGGUGGUGGGGUAGUGGCUUGCCCUGGCUUGGCCGGGUAGCCGGCCUGAGAGGGUGACCGGGCACAUUGGCACUGAGAUACGGGGCAGACUGCUACGGGGGGCAGUGGUGGGGAAUAGUGCACAAUGGGCGGAAGCCUGGUGCGGCAACGCCGCGUGCGGGAUGAGGGACUUUGGGUUGUAAACCGCUUUGGCCUGUGACGAAGCGGUAGUGACGGUAAUGGGUAAAGAAGCACCGGCUAACUACGUG